Molecule: RNA transcript, 1325 nt
Organism: Zea mays
Lineage: Eukaryota; Viridiplantae; Streptophyta; Magnoliopsida; Poales; Poaceae
Exons: 6
Source: RefSeq, marked validated
CCCCACCUUUCUCUCUAGUCUCUAGUUUCUAGUCUCUACCCCCAGGCCCCAGACUCCUGCCUCUUCUCUCUCUCGCCCACCCGCCCCGGCCCCAAUGUCGCCGCCCCUCGAGCCCCACGACUACAUCGGCCUCUCCGCCGCCGCCGCCGCGGCGCCGCCGACACCGACCUCCUCCUCGUCGUCCUCGUCCUCGCCGGCGCCCCGCCUCACCCUCCGCCUCGGCCUGCCGGGCUCCGAGUCCCCCGACCGCGACCGCGACCGGGACCGCUGCGAGGACGUCGCCGCCGCGCUCUCCCUCGGCCCGCUGCCUGCUACCCCCAAGGCGCCCGCUGCCGUCUCCGCCAAGCGCGCCUUCCCGGACCCCGCCCAGCGCCCCGGCGCUGCCAAGGCUAGCGACGACAAGCAGGCGUCCCCCGCCGCCCCGCCGGCCGCCAAGGCGCAGGUGGUGGGAUGGCCGCCCGUGCGGAACUACCGGAAGAACACCCUCGCCGCGAGCGCCUCCAGGAGCAAGGCGCCGGCGGCGGAGGACGCCGCGUCUGCGGCCCGGCCCAUGUACGUGAAGGUGAGCAUGGAUGGCGCGCCCUACCUCAGGAAGGUGGACAUCAAGAUGUACUCCAGCUACGAGGACCUCUCCGUGGCGCUCCAGAAGAUGUUCAGCUGCUUCAUCGCUGGUCAAAGUGGCCUGCAUAAAUCAUCGAGCAAAGACAGGCUGACUAAUGGCUCGAAGGUGGAUGCCCUCAAAGACCAGGAGUAUGUACUUACAUAUGAGGAUAAGGAUGCAGACUGGAUGCUUGUCGGUGAUCUUCCCUGGGACUAUGGUGACAUGCAAAUAACAGAAGGAUGAAAAGAAAAAAAAUGUACUUGUGGCGCAGUUAUUUUACCUCUAUCUGCCGGAAGCUCAAAAUCAUGAGGGGCUCUGAUGCUGUUGGAAUAGCUCCAAGAACCAUAGAGCAGACAGGUCAGAACAAAUAAGCUUGGUCUUUGCCUGCACCCACGCAAGAAAUCUGAGCUAGCUGGAAGGCCAUGUUGAAGGCUUAAAUAGUUGCUCGGAAUUAUCAAAAGUCGUCAAAUGUUAGUGUAGUUUCCACGUGUUCUUGAGACGUGUGUAUUUGUAUGUCUGUGAUGUGAUCCGUCAGAUCUGUUCUUGUGCCCUUCAAAGGCCAAAUCAGGGAGCUCUCUGCUUCCUGUGUAUGCUUGCUUUUUCCAGUAUUCCCUGUUAUUCUACUAUGAAAUCAUCCAUCGUGCCACAAAGAACUGAUGGUUCCUGAUGUCAAGAAAGCUGUCCGAAUUGUCUUCUUUUUACAGGAGAAAUUGGUGCUGCACUC